AUGCAGUCGAACGAUGAUCCCCAGNUUGCUGGGGGGAUUAGUGGCGAACGGGUGAGUAACACGUGAGUAACCUGCCCUUAACUCUGGGAUAAGCCUGGGAAACUGGGUCUAAUACCGGAUAUGACUGAUCAUCGCAUGGUGGUUGGUGGAAAGCUUUAUNGNGGUUUUGGAUGGACUCNCGGCCUAUCANCUUGUUGGUGAGGUAAUGGCUUACCAAGGCNACNACGGGUAGCCGGCCUGANAGGGUGACCGGCCACACUGGGACUGANACACGGCCCANACUCCUACGGGAGGCAGCAGUGGGGAAUAUUGCACAAUGGGCGCAAGCCUGAUGCANCGACNCCNCGUGAGGGAUGACGGCCUUCGGGUUGUAAACCUCUUUCAGUAGGGAANAAGCGAAAGUGACGGUACCUGCANAANAAGCGCCGGCUAACUACNUGCCANCANCCGCGGUAAUACGUAGGGCGCAAGCGUUAUCCGGAAUUAUUGGGCGUAAAGAGCUCGUAGGCGGUUUGUCGCGUCUGCCGUGAAAGUCCGGGGCUCAACUCCGGAUCUGCGGUGGGUACGGGCANACUANAGUGAUGUAGGGNAGACUGGAAUUCCUGGUGUAGCGGUGAAAUGCGCANAUAUCAGGAGGAACACCGAUGGCNAAGGCAGGUCUCUGGGCAUUAACUGACGCUNAGGAGCGAAAGCAUGGGGAGCGAACAGGAUUAGAUACCCUGGUAGUCCAUGCCGUAAACGUUGGGCACUAGGUGUGGGGGACAUUCCACGUUUUUCCGCGCCGUAGCUAACGCAUUAAGUGCCCCGCCUGGGGAGUACGGCCGCAAGGCUAAAACUCAAAGGAAUUGACGGGGGCCCGCACAAGCGGCGGAGCAUGCGGAUUAAUUCGAUGCA
Molecule: ribosomal RNA, 894 nt
Filed under: Arthrobacter sp.
Lineage: Bacteria; Bacillati; Actinomycetota; Actinomycetes; Micrococcales; Micrococcaceae
Description: partial 16S ribosomal RNA
Rfam family: Bacterial small subunit ribosomal RNA
Source: RNAcentral